UCCCAUCCUCUGCCCCGCCUGUCCUGUCCCCAGUCCUCCCAUCGAUGUCCAUGGAGUCAGUGGUGCAGGACCGAGAGCCAGUCAGACUCAGCCCCUGUCUCCCUGCACCUGUCCUACCUGACAUUUUUUAACUCGUCUUUCAUAAGGAUCCUCUGAAGCCCCCUGUGUGUCCCGAGCAGAGACUCCAUUUCUGGGGUUUUGUAUAUCUCCAGGCAAGGUGAAGGCACCCUUUGGACCCACCUCAUAAGCCAUCUCUGCAUCCCCAUGAACCCAGACUAGCUGUGGUGCCAGAAACCCAACUUAACAACAGCUAUCAGUGCAAACUGUCCUAGGAAAAAUUAAAAAUGACAGGCAAGGAG
This 359-nucleotide long non-coding RNA is filed under the name Androctonus crassicauda. Lineage: Eukaryota; Metazoa; Arthropoda; Arachnida; Scorpiones; Buthidae. The record is from RNAcentral.